UCCCUCUUGCCGGCGGCCUCGCCGACGUUUGCCGGCACGCUCGAGGUCGAUCCGCUCAUGGUUGCGGGCUCCUCUGUUGCCGCUAGGCGUACUCGUUCCUACCUUCGUUGCUGCAACCACGCCCUCCCAGUUGGACCUACGGAACCUUUGUUGCGGCAUCCAUCCCCUCCUAGAUACAGUCCUCGGAUUCUGAUGCUCCCGCUAGCAAGGUUGCUCUUGCUUCUGUUGGUCAAUCGUGCAACUGGUGGAAGGAGGACCACGGUUCUCCAUGCUGUGGUGUAGAUUAGGCGGUAGGUACUAGCUAGGUGCUUGAUGUCACUGAAGAGAAAGAAGUAGAGGAGCUUAUGUUCUUAUGUUCGCUUUGGUGGCCAGUUGCUUAUAAUUUAUUUGAUACGGCGGCUUAGGAUUAUAGUCUUAUGUAACCGUGAAAAUUGUCUUUGGCAAAUUUACUAAGUAGUUCAGAAGACUCACUUUGUAUUGUAUUGUAUUUUAAUAAUUUAUUGUUGUUGUGAUCAAUCAAUAUAAAUUUGCAAUGAUAUAUAUACAUUUUGGC
Molecule: long non-coding RNA, 553 nt
Organism: Panicum virgatum (switchgrass)
Lineage: Eukaryota; Viridiplantae; Streptophyta; Magnoliopsida; Poales; Poaceae
Exons: 4
Source: RefSeq, a predicted model, not a curated record